Molecule: ribosomal RNA, 669 nt
Filed under: uncultured Lachnospiraceae bacterium
Lineage: Bacteria; Bacillati; Bacillota; Clostridia; Lachnospirales; Lachnospiraceae
Description: bacterial SSU rRNA
Rfam family: Bacterial small subunit ribosomal RNA
Source: RNAcentral
CGAAGCACUUAACUUUGAUUCUUUCGGGAUGAAGAGUUCUGUGACUGAGCGGCGGACGGGUGAGUAACGCGUGGGUAACCUGCCUCAUACAGGGGGAUAACAGUUAGAAAUGGCUGCUAAUACCGCAUAAGACCACAGCACCGCAUGGUGCAGGGGUAAAAACUCCGGUGGUAUGAGAUGGACCCGCGUCUGAUUAGCUAGUUGGUGGGGUAACGGCCUACCAAGGCGACGAUCAGUAGCCGACCUGAGAGGGUGACCGGCCACAUUGGGACUGAGACACGGCCCAAACUCCUACGGGAGGCAGCAGUGGGGAAUAUUGCACAAUGGGGGAAACCCUGAUGCAGCGACGCCGCGUGAGCGAAGAAGUAUUUCGGUAUGUAAAGCUCUAUCAGCAGGGAAGAAAAUGACGGUACCUGACUAAGAAGCCCCGGCUAACUACGUGCCAGCAGCCGCGGUAAUACGUAGGGGGCAAGCGUUAUCCGGAUUUACUGGGUGUAAAGGGAGCGUAGACGGCGAGGCAAGUCUGAUGUGAAAACCCGGGGCUCAACCCCGUGACUGCAUUGGAAACUGUUUUGCUUGAGUGNCCGGAGAGGUAAGCGGAAUUCCUAGUGUAGCGGUGAAAUGCGUAGAUAUUAGGAGGAACACCAGUGGCGAAGGCGGCUUACUGGA